AAUUCAGUGGUAGAGUGUGUGCUUUGCAUGCACAAGGCACUGGGUUCAAUCCCCAG
Molecule: transfer RNA, 56 nt
Filed under: Fukomys damarensis (Damara mole-rat)
Lineage: Eukaryota; Metazoa; Chordata; Mammalia; Rodentia; Bathyergidae
Rfam family: tRNA
About the family: Transfer RNA (tRNA) molecules are approximately 80 nucleotides in length. Their secondary structure includes four short double-helical elements and three loops (D, anti-codon, and T loops).
Source: Rfam by way of RNAcentral